Long non-coding RNA from Vespa crabro (European hornet), 2789 nucleotides. RefSeq lists it as uncharacterized. The record is from RefSeq and is a predicted model, not a curated record. The transcript has 2 exons. Lineage: Eukaryota; Metazoa; Arthropoda; Insecta; Hymenoptera; Vespidae.
UUUAUUAUUCUUUAUUAUAUUUUGUAUUAUUUAUUUUUUAAAUUAAGUAUUACGGUUAAUGUUGAUUGGUUAAUUUUCAAUGUAUCUUUAAAAAGAUUGUUUCCUUUCUUUUUUUUUUGUUUUUUGUUUUUUAUUGCUCGAUACGAUCGUCUACCUAUUUUGACCUACUCUUUUAUGGGGGAAACAGAUAUUCUAGAAGACCAAAGUAGUACAAUAUAGUUCUUCGAAAGUAGUAGAGACUUGCAUAUAAAGAGAAUGUAUGUAUGUACUUAUGUGGGUAUAUAUAUAUGUAUAUAUAUAUAUGUGUACGUACAUGUAAAAGUAAGUACAUAAACCUGUUUCGGAAAGUGAGUGAAAGACUUUCUUUAGAUAUUUAUCUAUUGAUCGAUCAAUCGAUCGAUUGAUUUCGAGACUUCAUGAAAACGUGCCGUGACGUAUUAUUCGACAUCCGCGCUUUGCUAUUACGUUUAAUAGAAUAGUCGUCGAUGGUUACGUUAAGAUUCAAGUUUCGAAAGUAAUUCUCUAAUAAUAUUUGUUGCAUCCGAUGGAAAUAGAAAUGAGAACGCGUUGUCUCGAAUUACGAGAACUUUAGUCAUAUAUGCUGAGAAUUCAAUUGGAUCAUCUUUCAUUUUCGGAAACUCGAAAAACUAUAUUUAACACAAAAGAUUAUCGUCGUCUAUCUCUAUCUUUAUCUAUCUUUAUAUCUAUCUAUCUCUGUCUAUCUAUAUAUAUAUAUAUAUAUAUCCAUACAUACGUACAUAUAUACAAAUAUAUAUAUAUAUGUGUAUAUAUAUAUAUAUCUUUAUAACUUGAAUUAUCGAUAAGAUUGUAAAGUGAUUUGCGCGACAGUAGCGACACGUCACGGACAUUUACCGUAAAUAUAAUCGAUUUGAUUUUAGAUAUCGAAAUAUAGAUUGAGAAUGAAUAUAAAGAUACGUAUUAAGAUAGAGAAAGGUAAGAUGGCGUCGUGAAAGAAAGAGUGAUCAUUUCGUUGAAAGUUUCAAAGAUGAUAUUCGCGAGAUAUUUUGAAGCAAGGGAAAAAUUUCAAUGGAUAGGAAAGGAAGAGGAAGAAGAAGAAAGAUGGCAGGAGGAGAGGGAGGAAGAGGAGAAGGAGGAGAGGAAGGAAGGAAGGAAGGAAGGAGGUGCACCAAGCAAGAUAGGAGGAGGCGAUUUUACGCUCGAGCUUUGGCUCCUCCCCCUCCACUCUCGGCAAUGGACUCUCUUCGAUCGAUUUCCGUUCUGCGAGACGGUACCACCAACAUUUCCACGCGUAUACACACGUAUACGUAUAUAUAUAUAUAUAUAUAUAUAUAUAUAUGUAUAUAUAUAUAUAUACAUGCAUAUAGACAUACCAUACGUCGGACCGAGGCUUGUGCUUUGCAGUUUAGCUCGUAGUACAUACAUAUGUAUAUAUCAUGUAUGUACUUACUUCGCUGGAUGCGUACCGUUACAUCCAUCCUACUCUUACAUCAUUGUUCUACAGCGUUUGCCGAUUAAACGGAACUUUAACCUCAAAUGAAAUUAGAUCUUGUUAGAAUUGCAUUUUCGUAGUACUUGAAAUAUAUAAAUAUAUAUAUAUAUAUAUAAAGGAUAUAUUUCAAUUUAUUAACAUUAAAUCAAUAUUAAUCGAUAUUCGACAUAUCGAUUUUCCUCGAGCGUUAUUUUAAAAAUACGUCACUGGAUUACGCAAAAGAGAGAAAGAAAAAUGAAGAAAUAUGUCCGUAUAAGUAUAGACAACUUCCUGAAACUUUAAACACGAAAGAUAAUUCAUGUAAUUUAUUAACAAUAAAUUAAUAUUAAUCGAUAUUUGAUUAAAAAUAAUAUUUCUCGAGCGCCAUUUUGAAAAUAUCUUAGCAAGAUUAUUUCGCGUAAUUAAAAAUUCGAGGUAUAAUACAAUUGAUUUAUUAACAAUGUAAUUAAUAUCAAUCGAUAUUGAAUUAAAUGAUUUUGCCCGGGCACCAUUUUUUAAAAUAUGUCACGAUUGCUCCAAAUAAAAAGAAAGAAAAAGAAAAAAAAAAAAAAAAAAAGAAGAAAAGUCACAAUUAAGUUCUUACUUACGUGAUCGGAGAAAAAAAAAAAGAUCCAUGUAAUAGAACAGAACCGAUCACAAUCUAGAACGAUCAAAAUAGAGAAAUAUAUAAUAUAAAAAUAAUGUUGUUCCUCUAUUGCUCUCGGUUACGUUUAAAGAGGAUGAACAAGAAGAAGAAGAAGAAGAAGAAGAACGGAGGCCGGCCAUGUCUCUAAGGAACGUUGGCCCGUGUCCGUUCUCUCCGCAGGGGCCUUGAAAGGAAUGCGCGCGCGCGCGCCUCUUAAAAAGAAAUCGGUGAAUGCGCUUUUACACGCGUGCUUAUAAAUAAAUGCGUCCAGUGAACCGGACGUGCGAUCGUCGAAAAAAUAUUUGAUCCUCUCUUUUUUCGCAUCGAUACGCGUUCAAAAUCUUUUCCAAAGUACGUUUUACUUUUAUAUAAUUUUCUGUUAAUCGAUUUCAAAGUUAAAAAAAAAAAAAAAAAAGAAAAAAAAAUAGAACUACGAUCGUUGGACGUACGCGAUCAAAUUUAAUUAAUUUUUUUCUUUUUCCUUUUCCUUUUUUUUUUCUUUUUUUCUUUUUUUCUUCUUUUCUUUUAUUUUUGUUCUCGCAUUCUGGAAACACGUCCUCCCUUUUCCCCAUAAUAGGCCUUUCACUUUUCGAUAUAGUUUUAUUCUUUUUCUUUUUUUUUUUUUUUUUAUUCUCUUUUUUUAAAACUGUUUAAUAUUCUUAACGGGAAUUAUCAGACGUAACAAAAGUUUUA